UGGGAGUCUCUGGUACCUGCUUGACAUCU
This 29-nucleotide non-coding RNA is filed under the name Mus musculus (house mouse). The record is from RNAcentral. Lineage: Eukaryota; Metazoa; Chordata; Mammalia; Rodentia; Muridae.